Molecule: long non-coding RNA, 465 nt
Organism: Colias croceus (clouded yellow)
Lineage: Eukaryota; Metazoa; Arthropoda; Insecta; Lepidoptera; Pieridae
Exons: 3
Source: RefSeq, a predicted model, not a curated record
UCUUAGUAGUUUGUUGUUUAAUUUAACGCUUGUAUUAUAUAUUUAAACACGUUUUAACGUCUUUUAACAAAUAUUCUUAUUAUUAUAUAAAAAACUUUUUAACGGCUUCGCAAUUUCUCUCCUCGAGCACCUUCUCCUCGAGGUCGGGCGUGCAGCUGGCGGGCGGCGCCAGGCGCAGCUGCGCGCACGGCGCCGCGCCCGCGCUCGACCCGUCCCAGUCGCCCAGCUCCGACUGGAGCAGGUAGCUGGCUAGGAGUGCGUGCGUCACCGCCGAGCAGGGGAGGCGACCUGAACAAAUAAAAAUCGCCUAUAAUUAGACCUCUAACUCCAACUCAACUAGAUGCUCGCUCACCAUCCAGCAGAUCCUUCCUUACGGCCAGCACGAGCUGGUACCUGGUGAGUUCCUCCUGCAACUGCGCCGGCUCCGGCGGGUAGAAUUUCACCGCGAAACGCACGUACCACGGC